This is an RNA transcript of Gossypium raimondii (Peruvian cotton), 1684 nucleotides long. It is a transcript of the gene named serine/arginine-rich splicing factor SR30, with no coding region annotated. The transcript is spliced from 12 exons. The record is from RefSeq and is a predicted model, not a curated record. NCBI's taxonomy places the organism in Eukaryota, Viridiplantae, Streptophyta, Magnoliopsida, Malvales, Malvaceae.
GAAAACAGACACGAACACGUGACAAGCCUCUUUAAUUUUCAUCGUUUCAAAGCCACCCACGAAGCCCUUCUUCUCUAACCUUCCAGAAUUAUCUAUCAUCUAAAUCCCCUACAACCCAACCUUCCCUCUUCUCCAGCCCCCUUUUUAUAGGUAUCCCCUGUUCUUCCAAUUUUCUUCGAAAUUUUCCUAUGUCUUGGAUGAACCUGUUUAUCACUGAAACCGCCAUUUUUUUGUUACUUGGUUAAGAUUGGGUAUUGUUUCAGGGAAAAAUGGGCCGCUCAAGCCGCACGCUCUAUGUGGGCAAUCUGCCUGGGGAUACUCGUAUGAGAGAAGUUGAAGAUUUAUUUUACAAGUAUGGACCCAUUGUUGAUAUUGACUUGAAGAUCCCACCAAGGCCCCCUGGUUAUGCAUUUGUUGAGUUUGAGGAUCCUCGUGAUGCUGAAGAUGCAAUUCGUGGUCGAGAUGGUUAUAACUUUGAUGGGAAUCGUCUAAGGGUUGAACUUGCUCAUGGUGGGCGAAGACCUUCAUCUGUGGAUCGUUAUAGUAGUUACAGUGGUAGCAGUAGCCGUGGGCCUUCCAGGCGCUCUGACUAUCGUGUUUUGGUGACUGGUUUACCUUCUUCUGCUUCAUGGCAAGACCUAAAGGAUCACAUGCGAAAAGCUGGGGAUGUCUGUUUCUCUCAAGUGUUUCGUGAUCGUGGAGGCAUGACAGGGAUUGUAGAUUACACGAACUAUGAUGAUAUGAAAUAUGCUAUAAGGAAGCUUGAUGACUCUGAGUUUCGAAAUGCAUUUAGCCGGGCUUACAUACGGGUGAAGGAGUAUGAUUCAAGAUAUGAUUCUAGGCGCAGCUACUCUAGAAGUCCUAGUCGUAGCCCAUAUAGUCGAAGCCCUAGUCGCAGUUAUAGUUAUAGGAGCAGGAGCAGGAGCAGGAGCAAGUCUCCAAGGGCCAAAUACUUACGUCGGUCUCUAUCUGUAUCAAGGUCCGUCUCACCUCGUUCCCGUUCAGUGUCACCUGCCCGCUCCUAUUCAAGAUCUCGCUCUUUGCGGCAAUCCGGGGAUUGGAUGUUAGGAACUUGAUGGGAUGUGGUGCUCAAAUGCCUGCAACUCAUUUAUUUUUUGGUUGAGGUAAAUUUAUUGUUGUUGUAGAGCACCUCCGGGAAAACCAUUAAAGGUCUAAAAUUUCUGAUAUGUGAUGUAUGGAGCGCAAAGAGAGCUAAACUGGAUCAGCAUGUUAGGAUGAGUAGCGAUUGUAAAGGGGAUGACUAUGAUUUAAGUGCUUUUACUUUUGCCACUCAAUGCUUGACCAUCAGGGUCUCUACUGUGCCACUCUUUGAAUUUGAGGAUAUGCGUAUCUGUGCCCCUAUUCAUUGUGGUUUGAUCUUUAGCUAUCAUAAUAAGCUUGUAAAGGAAAAGAUAUUUUACUGAACAGUGAGAUCAUUAAAGUAAUAAUUCUCCUUCCGCUGGUUGCUCUGGUUAAGAUGGGUGAUAUAUUCGUAAUAUGGAAGUGAUGAUGAGGCCUUGGGACCAAAAAAAGGUAGUAGAGGAAUUUCUGGAUAUUGAAAUCAUUGUUUGUGGAACUUUUUGCAGAUCUCGAUCGAAAUCAAGAUCAAUCACUCCAUCUCCUUGCCCACGAAAACGCAGUCCAAGUAGGAGCCGAAGUGUAACUCGUUCUCAUUCACCAUCUG